This 1772-nucleotide unclassified non-coding RNA is filed under the name Leishmania donovani. RNAcentral's name for it is "gene:LdHU3.33.1750(CDS-product:YEATS_family_putat ive)". The record is from RNAcentral. Lineage: Eukaryota; Euglenozoa; Kinetoplastea; Trypanosomatida; Trypanosomatidae.
CAGCGUACCUAGGCCCCGCUUGCCCUCUGACUGUGCCAACCCACCUCGUGGCUGUUUUUGAGGGGUGUCCUGAGCGCCCUACAAUGUCUGCUGAAUCACAGCGUGUCGUUUACGGCGCGACGUUCGACAUCCCGUACGCCAUCGGCAGUGUCUCGGUUCCACUCGAAGCCCUUGGCGCAUCCUCACCGUCACGAGUAGGAGUGCAGGACGCGCGUGGGGCCGGCCCGUCCCCGUCCCCCUCGCGCCGUCGCGGUGUCAGCUCCGGCAACAUCAGCUCCGUGCGUCGAUGCACGCACCACCGGUACUGCUACGUCCGCGACGGCAGCGAGCUCUUGCAGGACGCCUUCUAUCGGUGGUUGGAGCAGCAGCGGCAAGAGCACCGGGAAGGCACCCAUGCAAGUAGCACGGGCGGUCCCCCGCAUGAGUCCUCCGGAGGACCGUUGACUCCUGCGACCGACUCAGCAUCCUCCACCAAUGCCCCCUCAUCGGCACCGCCCGAUGCGCCGAGUAGUCCCUCGCUCUUUUACGCCUCCGUGAAGUGCGUGGUGUUUGUGCUGCCAAAUAGCUUUCCCCGUCCCCGCCGUGUUCUGCGGCGCCCGCCCUUCAUCAUCGAGGACGACACCUGGGCAGAGCAUGUUGUGGAGGUACAACUGCACUUCUGGCCGCAUCUCAAGAUCCCGCCCGCCACGGUCGUGCAUCAGGCUCUGCUGGAGCGUCGCGUUUUGACUGCGCCACCGCCUUAUCAGAGUGGCGCUGUGUCGCCUGCGGCGCCGACGGAAGAUUUGCGCGAGGUGUGGGUGCCGCAGCUGUUGGCGAGCACCUAUGGCAAGCCGAAGUUGCUAUCGGUAGCCACAAAUGUGGCGGUGCCUGCACCGGCCCGUCGUGCGACCGCACCUGCACCAGGCACUGCCAAAGCUGCCAGUCGUGUGGUUGUCGUGGCUGAGAAGGUCGACACCCUUCACUUGUAUCACCCUUCUCUCGACGUGAUCCGACACAUUCGGGCGGUGCUCGCCAUGUCGCGGAUGCCCAUUCUGGAGGCGGUGCGCGACGCCUUCGACGCAACGUACUCGGCGCAGCCUUCUACGAAUGCGGAUGGCAACAGCCACGGUGCGCGCUCUCCCACACCCACUGACGCGGCGGCAACGUCUAGGGCUGCCGAGGACUCGUCGCUCUUAACGCCGUUCGCGCAUUCGUGGUCGCUUCCAUUUGAGGAUAUCAUCGCUGAGUACGCGGAGCAGCGGGCGUCGACGUCGGUGGCGGUGCUUCAAGCGGUAUUGGAGAAGCUGAAGCGUGAGCGGCAGGAGAUGGAGAAGUCUUGCGAGCGGUCCAUGGAGGAGAUUGCGGAGCUGGCCACCGUCGUACUCCCCACCCAACUAGAACGGGUGCACAUGCGGUGUAUGAAGCUGCACAAGAAGGAGUAGGUGAGCUGCGUCGUAGGCUGUGCCUCUUUGCUUCUCCUUCACCGCACCCUCCUCCUCUCUUCGGCUGGGGAUGAGGCGGGGUGACAGAGAUGUACUCGCCAACUGAUCCAAUGCGGGUUUGGUGUUUCGAUCCAUUUUGCGUGGGUACACCAGAAUGAAGGCUGGGUCUGCGCGCGCCCCUUUGGCAAAGGAGGUGCGUGCCUGUGUGUGUGUGUGUGUGUGUGUGCGUGUGUGCGUGCACCACAGCGAUGCCGGUCUUUUGUCGCUGCGGCCCCCUUCCUCUUUGUUAUUCGUUCACCCGUCUGUCCCGUGUGACAGUCGCCUGCUCACAAGCAACCCACGGGAAAACAG